AACGAACGCUGGCGGCAUGCCUUACACAUGCAAGUCGAACGAUACCUUCGGGUCUAGUGGCGCACGGGUGCGUAACGCGUGGGAACCUGCCCUUAGGUUCGGAAUAACUCCCCGUAAGGGGUGCUAAUACCGGAUAAUGUCUUCGGACCAAAGAUUUAUCGCCUUUGGAUGGGCCCGCGUUGGAUUAGCUAGUUGGUAUGGUAAAAGCCUACCAAGGCGACGAUCCAUAGCUGGGCAGAGAGGAUAAGCAGCCACACUGGGCCUGAGACACGGCCCAGAAUCCUGCGGGAGGCAGCAGUGGGGAAUAUUGGACAAUGGGCGAAAGCCUGAUGCAGCAAUGCCGCGUGAGUGAUGAAGGCCGUAGGGUUGUAAAGCUCUUUUAUCCGGGAUGAUAAUGACAGUACCGGGAGAAUAAGCACCGGCUAACUCCGUG
RNAcentral lists this ribosomal RNA (433 nucleotides) under uncultured bacterium. Its description in RNAcentral is "partial 16S ribosomal RNA". It matches the Rfam family "Bacterial small subunit ribosomal RNA", at positions 29 to 507 of the family's 1533-position model. The record is from RNAcentral.